This 68-nucleotide transfer RNA is filed under the name Chondrodactylus angulifer. Its description in RNAcentral is "tRNA-Ala". Lineage: Eukaryota; Metazoa; Chordata; Lepidosauria; Squamata; Gekkonidae. The record is from RNAcentral.
GGACCUGUAAAAUUUUAAUUUACAUCCACUGAAUGCAACUCAGACACUUUAAUUAAGCUAAGACCCCC